This is a long non-coding RNA of Myxocyprinus asiaticus (Chinese sucker), 277 nucleotides long. RefSeq lists it as uncharacterized. The record is from RefSeq and is a predicted model, not a curated record. The transcript is spliced from 4 exons. NCBI's taxonomy places the organism in Eukaryota, Metazoa, Chordata, Actinopteri, Cypriniformes, Catostomidae.
CUUGGAUUCUAAUCAAAUUGCCUAUUUGGGGCACAACAUACUGGGAAGCUUUUCAGUUGCUGACCUGAAGUCAAGAUGGGAAAUGAGCAGUCAACUCAGAGGAAACGGCAAAAGGCAAAUGCUGUUGAGAAAAAGGUCCAAAAUGGAGAAAUGAAUGGACAUGCAGUCCCACCUCCAGACUUACCUGAACCUGUGGCUAGCAAAGAAGUAGUGCAAAAAAAGUGUGAAAUUCCACCAGUGACUGACAUAAAAGACCCAAAACCAUCACCAAGUAAAG